UACAGAGGGGGCAAGCGUUGUUCGGAAUUACUGGGCGUAAAGGGCGCGUAGGCGGCCUGCUAAGUCGAACGUGAAAUCCCCAGGCUCAACCUGGGAACUGCGUGUGAGACUGGCAGGCUCGAGGGCAGGAGAGGAACGCGGAAUUCCAGGUGUAGCGGUGAAAUGCGUAGAUAUCUGGAGGAACACCGGUGGCGAAGGCGGCGUUCUGGACUGUCUCUGACACUGAAGAACGAAAGCCAGGGGAGCAAACGGG
Molecule: ribosomal RNA, 253 nt
Filed under: uncultured bacterium
Lineage: Bacteria
Description: partial 16S ribosomal RNA
Rfam family: Bacterial small subunit ribosomal RNA
Source: RNAcentral